This is a long non-coding RNA of Vidua chalybeata, 730 nucleotides long. RefSeq lists it as uncharacterized. The record is from RefSeq and is a predicted model, not a curated record. NCBI's taxonomy places the organism in Eukaryota, Metazoa, Chordata, Aves, Passeriformes, Viduidae. The transcript has 2 exons.
CCCCUGGCGGCGCGGGAGCGGCCCCGCCGCGCCUCACGGCCCUCAGCGCCCCGCCAUGGCCGCUCAGUGACGCUCCCGGCACCUCAGCGGCGCUCCAGGCUCCUGCCCGUCCCUCAGCGACACUCGGGACACCCGCUCUGCCCCUCUGUGUCCCUCAGGGCAUCCUAGCGACGCUCGCGGCCCCUGCUGUUCCCUCAGCGUCGCUCCCAGCCCUCAGCGAAACUGGCGGCACCUGCUUCUCCCUCAGUGUAACACAGGACGCCUCGUAUUUAAUGUCCCAAAAUGCUCCCUGCAUGAACUUUUGAUUGAAUUGCAGUGAGUCACCAUCAGAGCCAGGAUGGCCAGGUCAGACGGGGAUGUCUUCAGGGAGCCAACGGGGCUCUGCAUGUGGUGAAUGGAGAGGUCCCAAACUCCUCAGGAAUAAGCGACUGCAUCAGAGAGAAGAGAAAGAAUGGGGUUCAAAAGCAGGGCUGGGUGGAGUCUAUGUUUCUGUGACCUCCUGGGAAGUGAAGUGCCUGGUGGCCAGUGGUCCCUGCACACCUGAGCCAGCCCCACCACCUGUGUGUACUCCAGCAUUAGCCUUCUUACCCUGGAUCCCGUGGCCACGCUCCUGAGCUGAGUGCCUGUGCCAUUCAUCAUGCCAGCAGCACAAGAGCAACUGGAAAAAGUGUCAGGAAUUUAUCACCGAUGGCAGGAGCUUUUGUCUGUAAUAAAAAACAUUUUCCCUCUC